CCAGCCAUGCCGCGUGAGUGAUGAAGGCCUUCGGGUUGUAAAGCUCUUUCGCACGCGACGAUGAUGACGGUAGCGUGAGAAGAAGCCCCGGCUAACUUCGUGCCAGCAGCCGCGGUAAUA
Molecule: ribosomal RNA, 120 nt
Filed under: uncultured bacterium
Lineage: Bacteria
Description: partial 16S ribosomal RNA
Rfam family: Bacterial small subunit ribosomal RNA
Source: RNAcentral